UCUCCGUAGGUGAACCUGCGGAGGGAUCAUUACCGAGAAAAGGCGCUCUGCGUCCGGCCUCCCCAACCCUUUGUUCGUCUCAACCAUGUUGCCUCGGGGGGCGACCCGGCCCUCGUGCCGGGCGACCCCGGUGGACCACCCAACCCUGCAUCGUUGCGUCUGAGUCGAAAUAUAAAUCAAUCAAAACUUUCAACAACGGAUCUCUUGGUUCUGGCAUCGAUGAAGAACGCAGC
RNAcentral lists this unclassified non-coding RNA (233 nucleotides) under uncultured fungus. Its description in RNAcentral is "sequence contains ITS1, 5.8S rRNA gene". The stretch from base 185 to 233 matches the Rfam family "5.8S ribosomal RNA", at positions 1 to 49 of the family's 154-position model. Lineage: Eukaryota; Fungi. The record is from RNAcentral.